This 1268-nucleotide long non-coding RNA is filed under the name Anas platyrhynchos platyrhynchos (common mallard). RNAcentral's name for it is "lncRNA (ENSAPLG00000025507.1)". The record is from RNAcentral. Lineage: Eukaryota; Metazoa; Chordata; Aves; Anseriformes; Anatidae.
GAGCUCCCGAGGCCCUGGGCUGGGGCAGAGUGCGUGUUUUUGGGGGCACACGUUCCUGCUCGGGAGCAACCGGAGUGAAUUGAUGCUCACACACCUAACAAGGGCUGUGUGGGUGCACGUUGCAGGGCUUGCAGAGAAAAAUAUCCAGCGCUGCGUGCUCAUGGUCUCAGUCUUGCAGGUUUUUUUUGCAGUUUAUGUACCUUUACUGCUCUGUGCCUUUACCUCUCUGGUAUAAAAGCACAGCUCUGUAAGCAUGUGCCCAAUGCCAACUGCUCCUCUGUGCUCAACCCGAUGGUUUUGAAAACUCAGUGGUGAUAGGUGUGUGUGAUUUUACAUGCAGCAUGUAUGACCUUACACGCAGUGCGUGGUUUUACACGCAGCGUGUGUAGAUGAGGGCAUAAGGAGUUGUACCUGUGUGCUGCUGGGGUGCGCCCUGUGCCGCCGGUCACCGACACCAGCCUGGCUGCAGAGGGCAGCGCUUUGCAGCAGGCAUGAAGCUAAGGGGUUUGGCCUCAUAAAGGCCUGUCCUAUAACUAUACAAAUGAUAUAGCUAUAAUGUUAUAACCUAUACAAAUAAUGUAACUAUUUGGUUAGUGCAUAAAUAUGGUUAGGGUUAUAUUUUGCUGCUGAAACAUCUACUUUAUUUUUUUUUUCCAUUUGAGGGUGAAGGUGCAAGCUAAUGGAAGGUUUUGUAGAUAAUUUUCUGUUGGUUCUCCCCCUGCCGGGGGGAGACACUAAGAAUGCCGUUCAUUUGCAAACUCAGGUGUCCAUGGAUGUAGUUUUAUAGCAAUGCCUACAGCAGUUGGUAUUGAUGCACAGUGAUAGUUCUAGUCUACCUGUCGCUAUUUUCUAUAAAUCUUACUGUGGUGCUACUGAAAAAAAAAAAAAAAAAAAAAAGAAGCUCAGGUCACCUUGCAUGGGAAAUUGUAGAAUCUGAGUAAGAACCACCUCAGCUGAUUUUAAUAAAUGUAAUCCCGACUGCUAUGAGCUGUGCCAUCUGUAACAUUAUGCAAUGUAUCUCUUACGUACAGGAGUACAGGAGAUGUGACAUUCUGCGUGGCAGUGGCAGUGACAGGACAGCAUCUGAUAGCUCUGCUCUGCAGUGUGGUGGCAGUGAUCUUCAGCAACUUCUCAUCUGUUUUUGCAAUGGCCACAAGCGAGAUGAUGACUUUGUCCGGCUAAAACCUUUAGAGUAUAAGAAGUGAGAUAUUUCUGAGAUGAUCUGAUACAGCAGCUUGGCAUGGAUGAAAGUCUGGUUUCCACUUUAA